RNAcentral lists this ribosomal RNA (229 nucleotides) under uncultured bacterium. RNAcentral's name for it is "partial 16S ribosomal RNA". It matches the Rfam family "Bacterial small subunit ribosomal RNA", at positions 103 to 334 of the family's 1533-position model. The record is from RNAcentral.
CGGGUGAGUAACACGUGGGCAACCUGCCUCUCGCUCCGGGAUAACUUCGGGAAACCGAUGCUAAUACCGGAUAUGACCAGAUGCGACAUCGCAUUCGGUGGAAAGAAUUUCGGCGAGAGAUGGGCCCGCGGCCUAUCAGCUAGUUGGUGAGGUAAAAGCUCACCAAGGCGACGACGGGUAGCCGGCCUGAGAGGGCGACCGGCCACACUGGGACUGAGACACGGCCCAG